RNAcentral lists this ribosomal RNA (406 nucleotides) under uncultured bacterium. RNAcentral describes it as "partial 16S ribosomal RNA". It matches the Rfam family "Bacterial small subunit ribosomal RNA", at positions 30 to 526 of the family's 1533-position model. The record is from RNAcentral.
AUUGAACGCUGGCGGCAGGCCUAACACAUGCAAGUCGAACGAGUGGCGGACGGGUGAGUAAUGUCUGGGAAACUGCCUGCUGGAGGGGGAUAACUACUGGACACGGUAGCUAAUACCGCAUACCAUCAGAUGUGCCCAGAUGGGCUUGGCUUGUAGGGGGGGUAAUGGCGCACCUAGAGGCCGAUCCCUAGCUGGUCUGAGAGGAUGACCAGCCAAACUGGAACUGAGACACGGUCCAGACUCCUACGGGAGGAAGCAGUGGGGAAUAUUGCACAAUGGGAGCAAGCCUGAUGCAGCCAUGCCGCGUGGGUGAAGAAGGCCUUCGGGUUGGAAAGCACUUUCAGCGAGGAGGCGUUACUCGCAGAAGAAGCACCGGCUAACUCCGUGCCAGCAGCCGCGGUAAUAC